Molecule: ribosomal RNA, 339 nt
Filed under: Triticum aestivum (bread wheat)
Lineage: Eukaryota; Viridiplantae; Streptophyta; Magnoliopsida; Poales; Poaceae
Description: partial small subunit ribosomal RNA
Source: RNAcentral
AUGAUCAGUGUGCGAGGGACCGGUUUACGCUUCAAGAUCACAUCCGUCUACGGCCCCACAGACCCCUCCUGUAAAGACGCUUUCUUCGCCGAGCUACUCAGCCAGAAGCCUACGACUGGGGUGGCAUGGCUCGCCACCGGUGAUUUCAACCAAAUCUACCGGGCCAGAGACAAAAACAAAAGAAAUGUCAACCGAAGCAGGAUCAACCGUUUUAGAGCAACGCUACAAAGCUGUGAGCUCAAAGAAAUACACCUCCAAAAUCGGCGUUUCACUUGGAGCAAUGAGAGGGAAAACCCAACUUUGUGCAAGUUAGACUCGUUCUUUUGCAACGCCGAGUGG